RNAcentral lists this ribosomal RNA (448 nucleotides) under uncultured bacterium. RNAcentral's name for it is "partial 16S ribosomal RNA". It matches the Rfam family "Bacterial small subunit ribosomal RNA", at positions 330 to 794 of the family's 1533-position model. The record is from RNAcentral.
GCCAGACUCCUACGGGAGGCAGCAGUGGGGGAUAUUGCACAAUGGGGGGAACCCUGAUGCAGCGACGCCGCGUGGGUGAAGGAGCGUUUCGGCGCGUAAAGCCCUAUCGGCAGGGAAGAAGGAGGACGGUACCUGACUAAGAAGCCCCGGCUAACUACGUGCCAGCAGCCGCGGUAAUACGUAGGGGGCAAGCGUUAUCCGGAUUUACUGGGUGUAAAGGGGGCGCAGACGGCAGCGCAAGCCAGGAGUGAAAGCCCGGGGCCCAACCCCGGGACUGCUCUUAGAACUGCGCGGCUGGAGUGCAGGAGGGGCAGGCGGAAUUCCUAGUGUAGCGGUGAAAUGCGUAGAUAUUAGGAGGAACACCAGUGGCGAAGGCGGCUUACUGGACGAUGACUGACGCUGAGGCUCGAAAGCGUGGGGAGCAAACAGGAUUAGAUACCCCGGUACU